GGUGGUAUUCGUGAGCGCACGGUGAGGAAGGUCCUAGCCUUAAUAUACAUAAAUAAAAUUUAAGUGAAAAUUCUCCGUUCGAGAUAAACUCUCGAAACAUUGGGCUCUUUUUCAUGAUUUAUGUUUCGAAAUAUCACAUUUGUACUUGAGAAGUAUAUAGGAGUACUUUACUCUUCAAAUUAAACUUUUCAACAUUUUUAUUUGAAGUACGAUUCCUAUGAAAUUAUUCAACAGUGAACAUAAACAGUGAAGAUAAAUAGUUUGCCUAUCACGUGUUUUGUUCUUAGUGGAGAGUGACACCACACUAAAUAUUGGGUCUCUAAAUCAUUUAUACUUCUUUGAUCUUUGUGAAAUUUCAAAAUUUAUUCGAAACCAGAAGAGAACGGCUCCAAAGUGGCGCCGCUAUCGAAGAAUAUGGAUUACCUUGAAGAAUU
Rhagoletis pomonella (apple maggot) is the source of this 434-nucleotide long non-coding RNA. RefSeq lists it as uncharacterized. NCBI's taxonomy places the organism in Eukaryota, Metazoa, Arthropoda, Insecta, Diptera, Tephritidae. The transcript has 2 exons. The record is from RefSeq and is a predicted model, not a curated record.